Molecule: non-coding RNA, 82 nt
Filed under: Nitrosospira sp. Nsp1
Lineage: Bacteria; Pseudomonadati; Pseudomonadota; Betaproteobacteria; Nitrosomonadales; Nitrosomonadaceae
Description: GEMM cis-regulatory element
Rfam family: c-di-GMP-I riboswitch aptamer
About the family: GEMM was predicted in a large-scale screen for bacterial structured RNA regulatory elements. Genes associated with GEMM are involved in a diverse array of functions, including chemotaxis regulation, signal transduction, secretion and chitin.
Source: RNAcentral
CAGGAACAAAGCCAAACCUGUCGCGAGGCGGGGACGGAAAGCUGCGGGUCUACGCACAAGCGGAGGCAGCCGGGUUGCUCCA